This 319-nucleotide ribosomal RNA is filed under the name uncultured eukaryote. RNAcentral describes it as "partial 18S ribosomal RNA". It matches the Rfam family "Eukaryotic small subunit ribosomal RNA", at positions 1470 to 1796 of the family's 1831-position model. The record is from RNAcentral.
CCCUUAGAUGUUCUGGGCCGCACGCGCGCUACACUGAUGCAUUCAACGAGUUUCUUCCUGGUCCGAGAGGACUGGGUAAUCAUUUGAGUGUGCGUCGUGAUGGGGAUAGAAUAUUGUAAUUAUUACUCUUCAACGAGGAAUUCCUAGUAAGCGCAAGUCAGCAGCUUGCGCUGAUUACGUCCCUGCCCUUUGUACACACCGCCCGUCGCUCCUACCGAUGGGUGAUCCGGUGAAUGAUUCGGACUUCAGCGGCUCCUCUGGGGUGCGCCGGAGAAAGUUUUGUGAACCUUAUCACUUGGAGGAAGGAGAAGUCGUAACA